Molecule: ribosomal RNA, 510 nt
Filed under: uncultured bacterium
Lineage: Bacteria
Description: bacterial SSU rRNA
Rfam family: Bacterial small subunit ribosomal RNA
Source: RNAcentral
AACGAACGCUGGCGGCGUGCUUAACACAUGCAAGUCGAACGCGAAAGGGGACUUCGGUCCUGAGUAAAGUGGCGCACGGGUGAGUAACGCGUAGAUAACCUGUCUUCAUGUCUGGAAUAAUACGCCAAAGGGGUACUAAUACCGGAUAUUCUUGCUUUUCAUAAGUUAUGCAAGCAAAGGUGGCCUCUGCAUAUGCUACUGCAUGAAGAGGGGUCUGCGUACCAUUAGCUAGUAGGUGGGGUAAUGGCCUACCUAGGCGACGAUGGUUAGCGGGUCUGAGAGGAUGAUCCGCCACACUGGCACUGGAACACGGGCCAGACUCCUACGGGAGGCAGCAGUGAGGAAUAUUGCGCAAUGGGGGAAACCCUGACGCAGCGACGCCGCGUGAGUGAGGAAGGCCUUCGGGUCGUAAAGCUCUGUCAAGAGGAAAGAAGUGUACAAUGGCUAAUACCUGUUGUAUUUGACGGUACCUCUAAAGGAAGCACCGGCUAACUCCGUGCCAGCAGCCGC